GAUCGCGUAGCUCAGUUGGCAGAGCAUUGGGCUAGUAUUCCAAAGGUCGUAGGUUCGAUUCCCACCGUGGCCG
Paramuricea clavata is the source of this 73-nucleotide non-coding RNA. NCBI's taxonomy places the organism in Eukaryota, Metazoa, Cnidaria, Anthozoa, Malacalcyonacea, Plexauridae. The record is from the annotation of a GenBank genome assembly.